UUGGACAAUGGGGGCAACCCUGAUCCAGCAAUGCCGCGUGACGUGAAGAAGGCNNNNNNUUGUAAAGCUCUUUUGUCAGGGAAGAAACAGCAGCUCUAACACAGUCUGCGAAUGACGGUACCUGAAGAAUAAGCACCG
Molecule: ribosomal RNA, 138 nt
Filed under: uncultured bacterium
Lineage: Bacteria
Description: partial 16S ribosomal RNA
Rfam family: Bacterial small subunit ribosomal RNA
Source: RNAcentral